This is a long non-coding RNA of Helianthus annuus (common sunflower), 3548 nucleotides long. RefSeq lists it as uncharacterized. The transcript has 3 exons. The record is from RefSeq and is a predicted model, not a curated record. NCBI's taxonomy places the organism in Eukaryota, Viridiplantae, Streptophyta, Magnoliopsida, Asterales, Asteraceae.
GAAAGUUGGGGACUAUAGGUGAAAAAAUGCGAAACCACAGGGACUAUCCGGGCAUUUUUCUCUUUUUUUAAUUAUCAAUUAAUUGGAGUUAAAAAAACAAAGUUUGUACUUAAAUUGUGCAGGGGCUGCGCGAACGCAAGCCCCCACUGCCACAAAUUAUGAUGUAGGCUCGACCACUUGGGCCAACCUUAGGCGGGCACCCCUCCAAAGUGCAAUGGAGGUCACCAACGUAGGCCAUGGACCUUCUUGAUCACCCAUUGACCCCAACCAGGUAAGUGAGUAAUCUGUUACCUUCUCUUCCUAUUUAAUACACACCUCUUCACCUUCUCUUUCCCUUCAAGUCGAUGUGGGACAAUGGACUAAUGAAACAGAACAUUAUUCUUGUUUCAGUUGUUCUAUCAUCAAAUGUUAUAGUUGAUGAAUCCAUUGUCAAAUGACUUGCUAUUAUGCUUUUAUUAUCUACAAAAUCUUCUGGUCUUCCUUUAGGAACUUCUGUCGAACAUUUGUGUUGAAAGUUCUUAGACACAGCCAUUUCAACAACAAUGUGUAUCUCUAUGUAUAUCACAUCGUUGUUGAUUCAAAAGCAGCUCUUGUUUACACCACUACUUUAUCUGUUUCACCUGCGGCUGCAUAUGUUCAAUAACACAAAAAAAUAGUAAGUUGUAUAGUUAUGCCCUUCUCUGCAUUGCUGCUUGGAAUUAAAAAAUCAAACGCCAUUGCCGGGGAUCGAACCCGGGUCACCCGCGUGACAGGCGGGAAUACUUACCACUAUACUACAACGACUUAUCUGUGAGCUUCGUUUAGAAUAUGAAUUGAAUAUAGUUGUUUUAUGUAAAUAAAAAAGGUACACUAAAAACAUACAUAGAGAAGCAUGAUCAUAGAACGCCAAAGAUAAGAUUCAUCUUCUCUAUUAUAAGCAUCCGGGAUUUUAGAGACUGAACUUGGGUUGAUUCUUGAAAUUGAUGAUUUUGGAAAGAAUAUGAAGUUGCCAUUUUCAAGAUGAUCAUCAUUUUUUGUUGCACGCGGCUUCUUCAUAAGAUCUAGCAGCCUCUUCAGCGAUAUCAAAUGUGCCCAACCAUACUCUUAUGUAUUUAUUUUCACCUAUAUAUAUAAAACUAUCUUUACGUUUAUAAAAGCAAAUAGAGUACAAAUACUUUCAUAUUUUUCAAUAACAUGUAGAAAAAAAUGUGUUCAAGUUGUAUAUUUGUUGUAGUGUUGUACAAAGUUUAAUUAUCGAUGUGAUUAACAGUGAUUGGUUCUAGAUUACGGCUUAUUAAAUGUAAAGAAGUAGGUAAAAUUCCUAGUUUCCACAAUUUGAUGCGUAUAAAAUCCUGCAAAUAUUUCCGAGGCUCAAAAUGUAAGUACAAACUCCAAUUAAAUGCAGAUUAUUGUUACACUGUUCACAUGGAAGCUUAAGUAUAGACAAUCAGAUAAGGCCAAACAUACACAAGUUCAUUUUCUUGUUUCGGGAAAUAACAAUGAAAACAGUAAGUUUGAAAACGAACAGUUACACAGACAACUACAAAACAGCUUAAACUUAAAAAUUGUGCAGAGGCCGCGCGAACGCAGGCCUCCACUGCCACAAAUUAUGACGUAGGCUCGACCACUUGGGCCGACCUUAGGCGGGCACCCCUCCUGAGUGCAAUGGAGGUCACCAACCUAGGCCAUAGACCUUCUUGAUCGUCCAUUGACCCUGUCCAGGUAAGUGAGUAAUCCAUUACCUUCUCUCCAUUUUUAUAUUACACUCCUGGUCACCUUAUCUUUGUUCAAGCCGAUGUGGGACUCUGGACUAAUUAAAUUACUUCCAUCUUACUUUUAUUUUUGAAGGGUGACUUUCUAUGUACAGGACCUAGUGGUCACCGGGUUCUUGUCAAAGACAAUCCCCCGUCAGCCCCGCCUACGGACACGAGGUUCUAUCGGGCCCCGGCGGCCGCACAAACUGUCCUUCGCCCGGAAACCAUACUGCCCUCACGAGAGAACCUCGCUGGGGUAACAACUGGGUAAAAGCGUGUUGCCUAAACGAUCCAUCAUUGGGACGUCCCGCACCUUUUGCUACCGCCGGGAGUCGAACCGGCGUCUACAAAGAGAACACCAGCCCAAUAACUGACCAACUGAGUUAGGGUGGGGGAUUGCUUCCAUCUUACUUAAAUAGAUUUUUUUUAUUAUUGUUAUUAUCUUUCAUAUUUUUCAAGAUCAAGUGACUUAAUUUGCAGUCAAAUGUUUAAGCACAGGCAGUAAGGCACAAAAGCAGCUUCUUAUCUCUGAAGUGAAAUAUGAAUUUGGAUGACAUAAUCACAAACCAUUAACCUUGGACAUUAUUCUAGCGAACAUCGGAGAUUCUCAUUUCUUUAACUUAGUUACACACAAAGUUUUUUUUACUACAUCAGAUCACGUAUUUCAAUCAACCCGUGCAUUGGGAAUCUAGAGAGAAACAGUGAGGAUUUAAGGUAUAUUAUUUGGAAACAGAGAUAGAUAUGUUGUUUCAUGAUUGUUGUGAUAUAAAAAUAUACUCAUAGUUAUUGCAGAUUUGGAGUUAAUAAAAUAAUACAAAAAAGACGAGUUAUAUAUGCGAUUUUCAUCAUGAUUGUAACAUAUUUUCACCUGAACUGGUCGCUGGAUUUUAUGGUCAUUGUUGUCGAAUCAAUAUAGAGGAUUGCGACUUUGAGGAGGAGCUCGGAUCUAGUGAAGGGGCUGCGCGAACGCAAACCCCCACUGCCACAAAUUAUGACGUAGGCUCGACCACUUGGGCCGACCUUAGGCGGGCACCCCUCCGAAGUGCAAUAGAGGUCACCAACCUAGGCCAUGGACCUUCUUGAUCACCCAUUGACCCCGUCCAGGAACUUCUGUAGAACAUUUGUGCCGAAAGUUCUUAGACACAGCCAUUUCAACAACAAUGUGUAUCCCUAUGUACAUCACAUCGCUGUCGAUUUCAAAAGCAGCUCUUGUUUACACCGCUACUUAUUCCCGUAAAAUAUUUUGUUUCCACAAAGUUUUACGUUAUUAUUCAAACACUCUGGAGGUGAAUUGUUUCUGCAUACUUCAUUUCUUUGAUGAAAAAGUUCUUAUUUUGGGAUGUUUUUUUGUAUGAAAAAUGAGUUAGACAUGCUCUUUGAUGAUUGUUGUGGUAUGAAAAAUGAUAAUAUACUAUACUCAUAGCUGUAUAAAUAAUAAUAUGAAGUUAUGAUCAUAGAUAUUACAGAUUUAUUGAAAACUUUGAGCUGAUGAAAUGUGGUUUCAGUAUUAAAAAACUAAUAAACGCCGUUGCCGGGGAUCGAACCCGGGUCACCCGCGUGACAGGCGGGAAUACUUACCACUAUACUACAACGACUUCUUUGUUAUUUUUGUUUAGAUUACCAAUUAAUUUUAAACGUGAAGUGGCAAUUGAUGGGUUGUUGAAGCUUGAAUGAUCAAGGUUUGCAUCUGGUUUGGUUUCAAUGGAGGUUAUAUUUGUUUCUAGGGUUUUGUACUUGUGUUUGUGUAAUGUGAAGCUUGAUGAUGAUCAAGAUUUCUAUGAAAACUUAUUCCUUGUUAUAUAGCUUACUUGGGUA